CUCUUAUGUAGAAUAUAAAUACGUCGUAGUCAGCCGUACUGUAUUGCCAAAGAGAAGCAGAGAAACGUAUUGUUGGUUGUACUGCUAUUGUAAUUCUGAUUUACAAAGAUGAACUCGAAAGCUUUGCUUAUCCUGCUGUGUCUGUUCUCGCUGAUGAUUGCAGACUACUCUGUCCAAGGCGCAAGUUCUUGUAGGACACGUACUGGCUGCUCAUGGUGCGGAUCGAGCUGCAGGAUGAGGGGAUACCGGUCUGGAACCUGCAGAUAUUCAUUUUUUUGCCCAAGAAGAAGGAGAUACUCUUGCAGAUGUUCUGGGAGAACUGGUUGAUGUAAAAAAAAACUUUUUUGAAUUCAAACAAUAAAAUGAAAGUAAUGCAGAUAUCGAAA
Long non-coding RNA from Ostrea edulis (European flat oyster), 386 nucleotides. RefSeq lists it as uncharacterized. The transcript is spliced from 2 exons. NCBI's taxonomy places the organism in Eukaryota, Metazoa, Mollusca, Bivalvia, Ostreida, Ostreidae. The record is from RefSeq and is a predicted model, not a curated record.